GGAGAGUACGUUCGCAAGGCUGAAACUCAAGGGAAUUGACGGGGACCCGCACAAGCGGUGGAGCAUGUGGUUUAAUUUCGAAGCAACGCGAAGAACCUUACCAACUGGUGGGCAUCCCCCUGACCGCUACAGAGAUGUACCUUCCCCUUCGGGGGCAGGGGUGACAGGUGGUGCAUGGUUGUCGUCAGCUCGUGUCGUGAGAUGUUGGGUUAAGUCCCGCAACGAGCGCAACCCUUGUCCUUAGUUGCCAGCAUUUGGUUGGGCACUCUAGGGAGACUGCCGGUGACAAACCGGAGGAAGGUGGGGAUGACGUCAAAUCAUCAUGCCCCUUAUGAGUUGGGCUACACACGUGCUACAAUGGACGGUACAAAGGGCAGCGAAGCCGCGAGGUGGAGCCAAUCCCAGAAAGCCGUUCUCAGUUCGGAUUGCAGGCUGCAACUCGCCUGCAUGAAGUCGGAAUCGCUAGUAAUCGCAGGUCAGCAUACUGCGGUGAAUACGUUCCCGGGUCUUGUACACACCGCCCGUCACACCACGAGAGUUUGCAACACCCGAAGUCGGUGAGGUAACCGUAAGGAGCCAGCCGCCGAACGCCGGUCCCGAUGU
RNAcentral lists this ribosomal RNA (603 nucleotides) under Exiguobacterium profundum. RNAcentral's name for it is "bacterial SSU rRNA". It matches the Rfam family "Bacterial small subunit ribosomal RNA", at positions 875 to 1474 of the family's 1533-position model. The record is from RNAcentral. Lineage: Bacteria; Bacillati; Bacillota; Bacilli; Caryophanales.